CAAGCAUUGCCUCCUGAGGAUGCCACCUCCCCAGUGGAGAAUAUUUCCAUUUAAGCCAGUUGUCCCUUUUUUCCUUUUUCAAGUGAUGGACCAAAAGGCUGUUCAGGAGGAGGAACACUCAGGGAGAAGCAGUGGCUCAUUGGCAGCCCCUGCAGCAGAAAGGAAGGCGAUGCCAGACACGGGCACAGGCACAGCAGAUGCAGCCAGUACCACAAGUCCAGUUCCCAAUGCCCUGGAUGGCCUCGGAAGGGGUUUCUGUCAGGGAACAGGCUGCUGGCUAAGGUUACUGGAAGGCGUCCUUUGUUUGGAGCUUGUCUUCAUGUUGUGCUGCUUAGGAAUCGGGUAUUCCUGGAAGACAAAACAGAGCACCUCGGGACAGGAGUUGGAAGACGGUGGCUGCACCUCACAGCCAGACAGCGUGAGCAGCUCCUCCAGCAGCAGGAACGGCCUGGACAGCCCUCUCAAGUCUUCUGUGAAGAGGACCCCAGAACAACCGUGUACACAGAAGCCUCUUAUUGCCCCGUAGAUCCCACUGCCACCUGCUCUCCUCAUGGGCCUCCCCAAGCUGCCUUCAUCUUUUUUUUUUCUCUCCGUCUGUCCCAUCCCAACCAACCCGAGUUCCUCUAGGGACCCCAGGACCAGCCCAGCACCUUCCAGCACCUCCUGAGACCAACACAUCCCUUCCUCUGCCCCUGAGCCCCCUGGCCUGGCCCUCUAGGCAACACUGAAGAUGACACCCCACCCCACCCCCACCCUCCUACCCGCUCCAACUCCCGCUUGCAGGGUAGGCAAUGGCCCAUUCCUCUGUGUUCAAAUAAAGAGAUGGAUUUGUGUCCUAGUUUGAAAGCAAAACCAGUGAGAGGGUCCAAGUCAGAAAUACAGUUUAUUAGGAAAAGGGAAAAAACCCCAAAACACAGGCAAUAAUACAAAAGAAAAACCACUGACAGGGUCAGAAUACAGCCGCCUGACACCCUGCUAGUUAGGGUGGUGGUAGCAGUCCAGAUGAAAUGGACUUGUGGAAGUGGUGAUCCUGUAGAAACAAUCUGGUAGCU
This is a long non-coding RNA of Passer domesticus (house sparrow), 1052 nucleotides long. RefSeq lists it as uncharacterized. The transcript is spliced from 3 exons. NCBI's taxonomy places the organism in Eukaryota, Metazoa, Chordata, Aves, Passeriformes, Passeridae. The record is from RefSeq and is a predicted model, not a curated record.